Molecule: ribosomal RNA, 591 nt
Filed under: uncultured Burkholderia sp.
Lineage: Bacteria; Pseudomonadati; Pseudomonadota; Betaproteobacteria; Burkholderiales; Burkholderiaceae
Description: bacterial SSU rRNA
Rfam family: Bacterial small subunit ribosomal RNA
Source: RNAcentral
UCGGGUUGUAAAGCACUUUUGUCCGGAAAGAAAACUUCGGGGCUAAUACCUCUGGAGGAUGACGGUACCGGAAGAAUAAGCACCGGCUAACUACGUGCCAGCAGCGCGGUAAUCGUAGGGUGCGAGCGUUAAUCGGAAUUACUGGGCGUAAAGCGUGCGCAGGCGGUCUGUUAAGACAGAUGUGAAAUCCCCGGGCUUAACCUGGGAACUGCAUUUGUGACUGGCGGGCUAGAGUAUGGCAGAGGGGGGUAGAAUUCCACGUGUAGCAGUGAAAUGCGUAGAGAUGUGGAGGAAUACCGAUGGCGAAGGCAGCCCCCUGGGCCAAUACUGACGCUCAUGCACGAAAGCGUGGGGAGCAAACAGGAUUAGAUACCCUGGUAGUCCACGCCCUAAACGAUGUCAACUAGUUGUUGGGGAUUCAUUUCCUUAGUAACGUAGCUAACGCGUGAAGUUGACCGCCUGGGGAGUACGGUCGCAAGAUUAAAACUCAAAGGAAUUGACGGGGACCCGCACAAGCGGUGGAUGAAGGUGGAUUAAUUCGAUGCAACGCGAAAAACCUUACCUACCCUUGACAUGGUCGGAACCCUGGUG